UACGGAGGAUGCAAGCGUUAUCCGGAUUUAUUGGGUUUAAAGGGUGCGCAGGCGGAAGAUUAAGCGUGAGGAGAAAUGCCACAGCUCAACUGUGGAACUGCCUCGCGAACUGGUUUUCUGGACUGCCCCUGCCGUGGGAGGAAUAUGUGGUGUAGCGGUGAAAUGCAUAGAGGUCACACAGAACACCGAUUGCGAAGGCAUCUCACGAAGGGGUGAUUGACGCUGAGGCACGAAAGCGUGGGGAUCAAAC
This 250-nucleotide ribosomal RNA is filed under the name uncultured prokaryote. RNAcentral describes it as "partial 16S ribosomal RNA". It matches the Rfam family "Bacterial small subunit ribosomal RNA", at positions 524 to 773 of the family's 1533-position model. The record is from RNAcentral.